Molecule: ribosomal RNA, 253 nt
Filed under: uncultured bacterium
Lineage: Bacteria
Description: partial 16S ribosomal RNA
Rfam family: Bacterial small subunit ribosomal RNA
Source: RNAcentral
UACAGAGAGUGCAAACGUUGUUCGGAAUCACUGGGCUUAAAGCGCACGUAGGCGGCAUCGUAAGUGUCGGGUGAAAUCCCACGGCUCACCCGUGGAACUGCCCGGCAGACUGCGAUGCUCGAGUGUGGUAGGGGAGAACGGAACUCCUGGUGGAGCGGUGAAAUGCGUAGAUAUCAGGAGGAACACCGGUGGCGAAGGCGGCUCACUGGCUCAUAUCUGACGCUCAGGCGCGACAGCGUGGGGAUCAAACAGG